This 253-nucleotide ribosomal RNA is filed under the name uncultured bacterium. Its description in RNAcentral is "partial 16S ribosomal RNA". It matches the Rfam family "Bacterial small subunit ribosomal RNA", at positions 524 to 776 of the family's 1533-position model. The record is from RNAcentral.
UACGUAGGGUGCAAGCGUUAAUCGGAAUUACUGGGCGUAAAGCGUGCGCAGGCGGUUGGGCAAGUCAGAUGUGAAAGCCCCGGGCUCAACCUGGGAAUUGCAUUUGAGACUGCAUUGCUUGGGUGCGGAAGAGGGAAGCGGAAUUUCCGGUGUAGCGGUGAAAUGCGUAGAGAUCGGAAAGAACACCAACGGCGAAAGCACUCUGCUGGGCCGACACUGACACUGAGAGACGAAAGCUAGGGGAGCGAAUGGG